Molecule: long non-coding RNA, 322 nt
Filed under: Linum usitatissimum (flax)
Lineage: Eukaryota; Viridiplantae; Streptophyta; Magnoliopsida; Malpighiales; Linaceae
Description: long non-coding RNA (LUSI_LNC001054)
Source: RNAcentral
AGCUAUGAAUCUGUAGGGGGAUUUCUUCCGGUAUCUGGGACCUGGGUUUUCAUUUCCGGUCAUCAAUUUCACUCCUUUGUUACUUUCUGAAGUUGAUUUUGAUUCCAACGCCUGUUUAAUUAAUCCAAUAAUGGCGUCUUCGAUUGUGAACGGGGCUGAAAGCUUCGCGCUCCUUAGAAGAACCAAUGGCGUAGCCCCAAGGGGAUUAGGUUUCGUGGGUUCAGAUUCCCACGGCAAGAACUUCCCUAAAUUGAACACGCUAUCCAUGAAUAGAAUCCCUAGGAUCAGUACUACUAGCAGAAGAACUACAACAAUGGCUCCC